RNAcentral lists this long non-coding RNA (361 nucleotides) under Heterocephalus glaber (naked mole-rat). RNAcentral describes it as "lncRNA (ENSHGLG00000050021.1)". The record is from RNAcentral. Lineage: Eukaryota; Metazoa; Chordata; Mammalia; Rodentia; Bathyergidae.
GGGUUUGGUUACCAGUAUCAGCCCCAUCACACCCAGAGCACCCGCCUGGCCAAGGGACCGGGCUCUUGUUUCUGGUGCAGGAGGCACAGCCAUACAGGUUUCCCCAGAAUGGGCUCUGGAAUCGAGGCCCCGGCUACAAGUACCAAGCCAAAGAUCACACGAGUCUCCAGGCGCAGGGGAGAUCUUGAGAUCCUGUUUGGGGUCGUUGUGAAAAAGGACCCUGCUACUGCAAGGCAGGCGGCAGAACCACUGAGCCAAACCCCGGCCCCUGACAGGAUUUUCUCUUCAGAUCUACCAUGCAGACCUCCUCAUCUGUCAAGGACUACUCCCUCCCCAGCCCUGAGGCUGACCGUGGAUCUCU